Molecule: small nucleolar RNA, 93 nt
Organism: Cucurbita maxima (winter squash)
Lineage: Eukaryota; Viridiplantae; Streptophyta; Magnoliopsida; Cucurbitales; Cucurbitaceae
Product: small nucleolar RNA R24
Exons: 1
Source: RefSeq, a predicted model, not a curated record
GUUACAGUGACAGGAAGCUAACAUGUUAGAAGGGUCACUUUUGUAUCUGUAUCUUCGAUGAAAUAUAUUUGUUAUGCCUGUCUUCUGAGCACA